AGAGGUGGUCUAUCCAGAGGUGGUCUAUCCAGAGGUGGUCUAUCCAGAGGUGGUCUAUCUAGAGGUGGUCUAUCUAGAGGUGGUCUAUCCAGAGGUGGUAGUGUGGUCUAUCCAGAGGUGGUCUAUCCAGAGGUGGUCUAUCCAGAGGUGGUCUAUCUAGAGGUGGUCUAUCUAGAGGUGGUAGUGUGGUCUAUCCAGAGGUGGUCUAUCCAGAGGUGGUCUAUCCAGAGGUGGUCUAUCCAGAGGUGGUCUAUCUAGAGGUGGUCUAUCUAGAGGUGGUAGUGUGGUCUAUCCAGAGGUGGUCUAUCCAGAGGUGGUCUAU
Molecule: non-coding RNA, 322 nt
Organism: Salmo salar (Atlantic salmon)
Lineage: Eukaryota; Metazoa; Chordata; Actinopteri; Salmoniformes; Salmonidae
Source: RefSeq, a predicted model, not a curated record